This is a long non-coding RNA of Sinocyclocheilus anshuiensis, 490 nucleotides long. RefSeq lists it as uncharacterized. The record is from RefSeq and is a predicted model, not a curated record. Lineage: Eukaryota; Metazoa; Chordata; Actinopteri; Cypriniformes; Cyprinidae. The transcript has 4 exons.
UUCGCGAUUCAGCGUGAUUCAACUCGGACGGUUCACUCAAUCUUUUUGAAGCGGUUUGUCAGUCGGCAAACGUGAUAGGGAACUUCAAGAAGGAUAAAAACGCAUAUUGAACUUCUAUACAGUCUGCUUGAAAGCAAACCUGCAAGUUCUUGUUGUUUUUCCAGCGAUGAAGAUUCAUUAUGACCAACACGCGCACGUGCGUCCCGAGAACCCCUCUACUGCAGGUUUCGGCAAUAAAUAAUCUUAAAUGCUUCAACCCAAACAGAAGAACAGAAUGGCCUGCAGUGACAACGCAAUGAAGAGGUAAUACUAGACAGGACAGAUGAGGUCAACAUGUGUUGGUUCAUCAGCAGCAUAACAUUACAGUGUGCCAGAACACUGACACCACACGGAUAAAGGGAGAGAGAGAGAGAGACAGACCUAAAUUAUCAGCCUUUCACGAAAAGAUACUGAACAGACUCUGUCGGUGAGGAGAGGGCCGCGUAAGGAG